AAGAGACACUGACCAACUUUAAGCAGAGCUCGGCUAUGCAGUUCGCCGAGUGCUCAGGUCCCUUCAUGAUGGUGGUUAUGACUCGGUUUUAGCUCUUGUGCUACCAGAGGAGUGACUGUGCAGGAGUAGAAGUCAGGAGAGAUGCUGACUCUAAAAACCCAGGCACCUUGCGCUUUGAAGCUCAAGCAGCCACAUGGAGAGACCGUGUGCAGGUCUUGCAGCCAACUGCCCCAGCUGAGAUCCUGGCCAACGGCCAGCAUCCACCACCAGACAUGUGAGUGAGUGAGCUUCAGAGGAUUCCAAUCUCUAAUUGUCAUGUAACCCCCAGGCUUCAGGUCUUCCCAGUUGAGAGCCCAGGCAUUGCUGCCCAGAGACCAGCCGUCCCUUUCUGGAUUUAUGACCCACAGAAUAUGUGGGCAGAAUCAAAUGUUGUUGUUGUAAGUUUGGGGUGGUUUGUACGACAGCAAUAGUAACUGGACCACUAGGUAGAGCUUGCGUCUCCCUGGGGAACAUGGCAAUGUUGUUUCUGCGGUCACUCUUGUUAUUCUCAUUGCCUCCAAAUAGAAGCCAUUUUCAAAGGUAGAGUGGGAGCUCUCUCAUUUUUAGUAAACUCAAAGCAAG
Molecule: long non-coding RNA, 621 nt
Filed under: Equus caballus (horse)
Lineage: Eukaryota; Metazoa; Chordata; Mammalia; Perissodactyla; Equidae
Description: lncRNA (ENSECAG00000046731.1)
Source: RNAcentral